AGGAAUAUAGCUCAAUGGUAGAGUAUGUGCUUAACAUGCAUGAGGUCCUGGGUUCAACCCCCAGUGCAUCUG
This 72-nucleotide transfer RNA is filed under the name Camelus bactrianus (Bactrian camel). It matches the Rfam family "tRNA". Rfam says of the family: Transfer RNA (tRNA) molecules are approximately 80 nucleotides in length. Their secondary structure includes four short double-helical elements and three loops (D, anti-codon, and T loops). The record is from Rfam by way of RNAcentral. Lineage: Eukaryota; Metazoa; Chordata; Mammalia; Artiodactyla; Camelidae. RNAcentral also lists the same sequence under 2 other names.